UGGGUAAGGAGGAAAAGAAAUAAAACUACCAAUAAGAAAGCAAAGUGUUUUACAUUUGAAGUUUGAAAUUAAAAUUAAAACUAAAAAUGGCAAACAAAUAUGUUGCUUUGUUGUUGGUGGUGUGCCUGGUAGCUGUUCAGGCAGAGCCUACCCUUCAAUCGGGAGAGACCGUAAUGACCCCGGAAGAGUGCUUUGAAUAUUGCGUUACCGCAAGUUUAUAUCCACGCUUCGCUUCUGAGCCAGUAUGCCGUUUCCGUUGCCAAUUCACCAUGUACAAUUGUAAGUUUCCCUCAUCAUUUUUUCUAUGUCUAUUUCUAAUCAAUUUUGUUAUAAUUAAACACUACAUCACGUUUUUUAAUAUAAUUUAAAUGUUUUAUUAUGCUAGCUGUUACAAACGACGUUGAGCACAGCGCAAGGAGGCAUGGUCCAGUUGCAGCUCCGGCAGUGUCACCGGUCCCAGCACCCAAAACUCAUUAGUUCACAAAAUGUUAAAAUGGGAUCCAAAAUUGAGAGCAUGAUUGGUAGAAUCAAUUUCAACCAAAACACAAUGCUUUUUCUCAUCAAUUCAUGUCCUCUUCCCCUUACCUCUUGCUUAUCAUUUGUCACCACAAUAAAUUAAAUUAUUAUUCUUUUUAUUAUCAUUCUCUUCUUAUUCCCCUUUUCCUUUUUCAUUGUCUAGUUUAUUUAUUUUUAUCGGAAUCAUUGUUAACUCAUUAAAGAUUAGUAGAAUAUCAACAACAAUACAAUUUAAAGUAUUUAAUGCAAAUAAAUUCACAAUAUUUAUUUAAUAGUAUGAAAUAAUAAAUUGUUUGAAAUACUCAUGUCUCUAGACGAUACACACACCAAGACGAAAAACUUAAAUGACAUCCCAACAAGAUAAUGAUAAAAUAUUAUCAUACUGCUAAGAUAAAAAUUACACAAAAAAACACAAAAGAAAGAUAAUAUAUUACCCUUUUAAUGAACGAAGAAAAAUAGAUGCUUUUUUUCGUAAGGAUGUCAAGUUUUUUUUUUUACAACUCACACAUAUGCAAGAUUCAACACUAUAUAUGCAAAUGCAGAAAACAACAAAUGAAUUUGAAAAUUACAAAAAGUAAUCACAGAAUCAGACGAUUGAUCUUCACCUAUCUUAAUCUUAAUUUGUUCUACCAUUUUAUCAAUUACAUCCAAUUGUUUAAAAGAAUUAAUACUUUUGCAACGUUUAAAACAAUUAUUUAAGAAAAAACAAUGUUGUAUAUUACAGAAUAUUACGCCCACAAAUCGAACAAAACAAACUUUCAUUUCAUUGAUUUCAAAGAUGAAGUAAUGAUUCAAUUUGAAAUGGUUCUUUAGCAUAAUUUAUUGUCUUACUUUUUUUUUUUCUCUAUAGGAGGUCACUCGCGUUCCUGCCAUAAAAAUUUUGAUUCACCAUUUAUGCAAAUAUAUGUACAUAUGGUGGUGGUGUUGAUAUACCAUAAUAUGGAACUUCUGUAGGGGAUGUUCUUGUGAGGUUGAUUGGGAGGUCGACUGCACAUGAGCAUAUGACAACGGUUGCAAAUGGGGAUCACACAUAUAUUGUUCGACAUAUAUAAAUAAUUUAGUAUGUUGUCUAAACCAAUUUAUAUAUUAUGGGUUGUGGCAUAAAACACCUUAUACGAUUUUACCUUGCAAUACAUAAUUCUCACGCUCGUUCCAAUGUUUAAUCUUUUCUCUCCCAACCCAAUUUCAAUUAUCAUCAAUGCCACACCUCAUGGAAUAUUUUCAUGUCCUAUGGUAGUUGUGGUAUUUGUUGAUGGAAACCGAAUUGGAGUGUAACUUUAUCAGGAUGAUGUUUUUCAACAAUAUAAUAACAAUUCAGAGAGGUAC
RNAcentral lists this long non-coding RNA (1842 nucleotides) under Cicer arietinum (chickpea). RNAcentral's name for it is "long non-coding RNA (CARI_LNC001061)". The record is from RNAcentral. Lineage: Eukaryota; Viridiplantae; Streptophyta; Magnoliopsida; Fabales; Fabaceae.